AUGAACGCUAGCGGCAGGCUUAACACAUGCAAGUCGAACGGUAACAUAGAGAGCUUGCUUUCUGAUGACGAGUGGCGAACGGGUGCGUAACGCGUAUGCAACCUACCUUAAACAGGGGUAUACCCCAGAGAAAUUUGGAUUAAUCCCCCAUAGUAUAAUCAUUUCGCAUGUUAUGAUUAUUAAAACUUCGGUGGUUUAAGAUGGGCAUGCGUGACAUUAGAUAGUUGGUGAGGUAACGGCUCACCAAGUCAACGAUGUCUAGGGGUUCUGAGAGGAUUAUCCCCCACACUGGUACUGAGACACGGACCAGACUCCUACGGGAGGCAGCAGUGAGGAAUAUUGGUCAAUGGACGAAAGUCUGAACCAGCCAUGCCGCGUGAAGGAUGACUGCCCUACGGGUUGUAAACUUCUUUUAUGUAGGAAGAAACCUCUCUUCGUGAAGAGAGCUGACGGUACUACACGAAUAAGCACCGGCUAACUCCGUGCCAGCAGCCGCGGUAAUACGGAGGGUGCAAGCGUUAUCCGGAUUCAUUGGGUUUAAAGGGUGCGUAGGCGGGUUAUUAAGUCAGUGGUGAAAGCCCACAGCUCAACUGUGGAACUGCCACUGAUACUGAUAGUCUUGAAUAUGAUUGAAGUUGGCGGAAUAUGACAUGUAGCGGUGAAAUGCAUAGAUAUGUCAUAGAACACCGAUAGCGAAGGCAGCUAACUAAGUCAUUAUUGACGCUGAGGCACGAAAGCGUGGGGAGCGAACAGGAUUAGAUACCCUGGUAGUCCACGCUGUAAACGAUGAUCACUUGCUAUGGCGAUAUACUGUCAGUGGCAUAGCGAAAGUGUUAAGUGAUCCACCUGGGGAGUACGAUCGCAAGGUUGAAACUCAAAGGAAUUGACGGGGGCCCGCACAAGCGGUGGAGCAUGUGGUUUAAUUCGAUGAUACGCGAGGAACCUUACCAGGGCUUAAAUGGGAAAUGACAGAUUUGGAAACAAGUCCUUCUUCGGACAUUUUUCAAGGUGCUGCAUGGUUGUCGUCAGCUCGUGCCAUGAGGUGUUGGGUUAAGCCCCGUAACGAGCGCAACCCCUAUCUUUAGUUGCCAGCGGUUCGGCCGGGGACUCUAAAGAAACUGCCAGCGUAAGCUGUGAGGAAGGUGGGGAUGACGUCAAAUCAUCACGGCCCUUACGCCCUGGGCCACACACGUGCUGCAAUGGUAGGUACAGAGGGCAGCUACCUGGUGACAGGAUGCGAAUCUCAAAAACCUAUCUCAGUUCGGAUUGGAGUCUGCAACUCGACUCUAUGAAGCUGGAAUCGCUAGUAAUCGCGUAUCAGCCAUGACGCGGUGAAUACGUUCCCGGGCCUUGUACACACCGCCCGUCAAGCCAUGGAAGCUGGGGGCGCCUGAAGUCGGUAACCGUAAGGAGCUGCCUAGGGUGAAACUAGUAACUGGGGCUA
Molecule: ribosomal RNA, 1444 nt
Filed under: uncultured bacterium
Lineage: Bacteria
Description: bacterial SSU rRNA
Rfam family: Bacterial small subunit ribosomal RNA
Source: RNAcentral